AGAGACAGCAGUAGCCACGGUAAUACGUAGGUCCCGAGCGUUGUCCGGAUUUAUUGGGCGUAAAGCGAGCGCAGGCGGUUAGAUAAGUCUGAAGUUAAAGGCUGUGGCUUAACCAUAGUACGCUUUGGAAACUGUUUAACUUGAGUGCAAGAGGGGAGAGUGGAAUUCCAUGUGUAGCGGUGAAAUGCGUAGAUAUAUGGAGGAACACCGGUGGCGAAAGCGGCCCUCUGGCUUGUAACUGACGCUGAGGCUCGUAAGCGUGGGGAGCAAACAGGAUUAGAGACCCGAGUAGUCCCUGUCUCUUAUACA
RNAcentral lists this ribosomal RNA (309 nucleotides) under uncultured bacterium. RNAcentral describes it as "partial 16S ribosomal RNA". It matches the Rfam family "Bacterial small subunit ribosomal RNA", at positions 504 to 808 of the family's 1533-position model. The record is from RNAcentral.